RNAcentral lists this transfer RNA (85 nucleotides) under Hypoxylon sp. CI-4A. It matches the Rfam family "tRNA". Rfam says of the family: Transfer RNA (tRNA) molecules are approximately 80 nucleotides in length. Their secondary structure includes four short double-helical elements and three loops (D, anti-codon, and T loops). Lineage: Eukaryota; Fungi; Ascomycota; Sordariomycetes; Xylariales; Hypoxylaceae. The record is from Rfam by way of RNAcentral.
UCUCGAUUGGUCUAGUGGUCAGGAUACCUGCUUGUCAUGUAUGGACAAUACGCAGGUGGCCGGGGUUCGAUUCCCCGAUCGAGAG